RNAcentral lists this ribosomal RNA (485 nucleotides) under uncultured bacterium. RNAcentral describes it as "partial 16S ribosomal RNA". It matches the Rfam family "Bacterial small subunit ribosomal RNA", at positions 30 to 523 of the family's 1533-position model. The record is from RNAcentral.
AUUGAACGCUGGCGGCAUGCCUUACACAUGCAAGUCGAACGGUGUCUUCGGAUAUAGUGGCGCACGGGUGCGUAACACGUAUGCAACCUACCUUACAUUGGGGGAUAGCCUUUCGAAAGGGAGAUUAAUACCGCAUAAGACAGUAGCUGGGCAUCCAGCAGCUGUUAAAGAUUUAUCGAUGUAAGCUGGGCAUGCGUCCAAUUAGCUAGUUGGUGAGGUAACGGCUCACCAAGGCAAUGAUUGGUAGGGGAACUGAGAGGCCAAUCCCCCACGAUGGCACUGGGAUGCGGGCCAGAAUCCUACGGGAGGCAGCAGUAGGGAAUAUUGGGCAAUGGACGCAAGUCUGACCCAGCCAUGCCGCGUGCAGGAUGAAGGCGUUAUGCGUUGUAAACUGCUUUUAUACAGGAAGAAACGACUCUUGCGAGAGGCAUUGACGGUACUGUAUGAAUAAGCACCGGCUAACUCCGUGCCAGCCGCCGCGGUAA